GCGAGCCUCCGCCGAUGUGGUGCUAGCCACCACCACCGAGCCCUAGCAGCAAAGGGAGUGGUGGCUUAUUCCACGGCGCAUCUCCACGCGUGCAGCAGCGACCCCGGGAGGAGCUCAAGCCGCAACGAUGGUCCACCGCGCCGGCGCCGUCGUCGACCGGCAGUGGAGGAGCAGCGGCGGCCAACGGCAGAUCGGCGUGUCAUGGGAGCAGACACGGCGGCUGUCACGGGCAGAGCAGAGCGAAGUUGGCAUGGCGGCUAGGCGGCUGUCCGGACUGGAUCCCGCCAUCACCACCAGCCCGCCUCGUUUGUCCGUGUCCAUCUCGGCGAAACCAAGGGUCUGCCUCGUGUCCUGCGAGGUGACACUCCACCGCCACCGCUCUGCUGCUUCCGCCCUACACUUCGCUCCCUCCGGUGCCAUCCUCACCUCCGACAAAAAGGACCUCUUGGACGUCAUUGCACAUGCUGGCCUCUUCCGACCCCGUGGCCACCGUGAUCAGGUAAUUGAUUUUGUGUUCCUGGAUUCGGGUAAGAAGCUAGUGACCUGCUCCAAGGGCAAGGUUAUCUGGGUUUGGGACCUCGACACAUAACACUGCCUUCAAAUUGUAAGGUGUCCAUCACAUCAAGAUAUGGUCGAUGGAUGUUGAUUCUAGCGAGAAGUUUUUGGUGUCUGUCUCGGCCGAUCAAGAGCUGUGGGUGUUCAAAAUCAGGCAAUCAGCUGAACAGGGUGAAGAUUGGAACAAAUGGGAUGCACUUCACCAUUGAUCUAUUGUGAUUCCUUUUCCCCUUUAAUAACGUGUACGUAUAGGGUAGUCAAGCGCCACAGGAUAUCAACUUUUGUUGUGGAUAAGAGUGGGAUGAUCAAUCGGAUUGCCGGGGUAGUACAACAUUGAGUCAUUGGCAGUUGGGCUCAACAAGGACAAGGCGUUGUUCACCAUAGGGGUAUUAGGAACAGAGAAAAUACUCACACAAGGCAUGGAGCAGCUACAAACUUGUUAAUGUUAUACAGGUUGAUGAUUUGUCAAAGGAAUUUUAUUGCAAAUUCCUGUAGGCCUGAAAAUGCACACUAUCAUAACAGAGUAAUGUGCAAGUACACAAUGUCAUAGUAGAAAAAUAGAAUUUUGACUGAUUAUUUAACAUCACCGUGAGCUUUCCUUUAAAUUUGUGCCUUUUGAUUUACCCCUGCUAUUGUAUAAGUAUGUGUAGGUUGAUUUUGCUUAUUGUGUGUUUUAUACAGCGAGCAGCUUCCCUUGCGCCGUCAUCCAUCCACCAACAAGUCCAUGACCAUGCAUCAGAGAAUGAAAAGCAUCUUUCACGCUGCCAACGGGAUCUGGACCAAGAAGAGGAUCAGGAGGACGAAUACAGUGGACACUACUACUCAGCAAGAUACAGUUCAAACCCUGUAUCCUCCUGAUUGAUCUCCCUUCGCCCCUGUUUAAGAAUCAUGUUUCACCCAUUCAGUGUUGUCUUCAGAAUUAUAGACACCUCAUUCUAUAAGGAGGCCGCCACCAAGAAGAGCGAGGUUGUGUCAAUGGACUCAGCGACAAGUUGUAGAAAGAAACAAGGCUUAUGUUAGGCAAAGUUGAUUAGGUUGUACUACACACCGAGUGCCUCCAUAAGAAUCUAGAUAAAAUGCCAUAAAAGACUGUUCUAGAUAAGAUGAUGGCUAUCAAUGUGAGCGACUGAGCUUUUAUGUCCAGAAAAUGCUCACUAAUAAAAUCUGGAAUGUCUUAUGUUUCUCAUCUUUUCUCUUCAUUUGUAUGGUUAAAGUUUGGCUUCAAACCAACAAAUAGUUAAUAUUAAAUUAAGCUAUUUUCCCGCUCCCCUCUUCAGUUGGCAAACCCAUCAAGGAAUUGUUGUAAUGAAUAUAUUUUAUAUGGUUACAUCCACAACAGGAAGAGAUCUUAAAUGCUAUAGCAUACGUCUA
This is a long non-coding RNA of Triticum dicoccoides, 1926 nucleotides long. RefSeq lists it as uncharacterized. The record is from RefSeq and is a predicted model, not a curated record. The transcript is spliced from 8 exons. Lineage: Eukaryota; Viridiplantae; Streptophyta; Magnoliopsida; Poales; Poaceae.